This is a non-coding RNA of Verticillium alfalfae VaMs.102, 98 nucleotides long. Lineage: Eukaryota; Fungi; Ascomycota; Sordariomycetes; Glomerellales; Plectosphaerellaceae. The record is from the annotation of a RefSeq genome assembly.
GGUUCGGUGGUGUAGUUGGUUUAUCACGUCAGUGUAACAUCCGCUCUCCUUAGAGUCGUGUUCACUGAAGGUCGGGAGUUCGAGCCUCCGCUGAAUCA